RNAcentral lists this ribosomal RNA (258 nucleotides) under uncultured bacterium. RNAcentral describes it as "partial 16S ribosomal RNA". It matches the Rfam family "Bacterial small subunit ribosomal RNA", at positions 524 to 776 of the family's 1533-position model. The record is from RNAcentral.
UACGAAGGUCCCGAGCGUUGUUCGGAAUCACUGGGCGUAAAGGAGCUCGUAGGCGGUUCCGUAAGUCAGAUGUGAAAACUCAAGGCUCAACCCGGACGACGCCAUCUGAUACUGCGGGUGACUGGAGUCUGGUAGGGGAACACGGAAUUCCUGGUGUAGCGGUGAAAUGCGUAGAUAAUCAGGAGGAACACCGGUGGUGUAGACGGCUUUCUGGACCGUAACUGACGCUGAGACACGAAAGCGUGGGUAGCAAACAGG